This 692-nucleotide ribosomal RNA is filed under the name Ensifer sp. RNAcentral describes it as "bacterial SSU rRNA". It matches the Rfam family "Bacterial small subunit ribosomal RNA", at positions 9 to 749 of the family's 1533-position model. The record is from RNAcentral. Lineage: Bacteria; Pseudomonadati; Pseudomonadota; Alphaproteobacteria; Hyphomicrobiales; Rhizobiaceae.
GAGUUUGAUCCUGGCUCAGAACGAACGCUGGCGGCAGGCUUAACACAUGCAAGUCGAGCGCCCCGCAAGGGGAGCGGCAGACGGGUGAGUAACGCGUGGGAAUCUACCCUUUUCUACGGAAUAACGCAGGGAAACUUGUGCUAAUACCGUAUGAGCCCUUCGGGGGAAAGAUUUAUCGGGAAAGGAUGAGCCCGCGUUGGAUUAGCUAGUUGGUGGGGUAAAGGCCUACCAAGGCGACGAUCCAUAGCUGGUCUGAGAGGAUGAUCAGCCACAUUGGGACUGAGACACGGCCCAAACUCCUACGGGAGGCAGCAGUGGGGAAUAUUGGACAAUGGGCGCAAGCCUGAUCCAGCCAUGCCGCGUGAGUGAUGAAGGCCCUAGGGUUGUAAAGCUCUUUCACCGGUGAAGAUAAUGACGGUAACCGGAGAAGAAGCCCCGGCUAACUUCGUGCCAGCAGCCGCGGUAAUACGAAGGGGGCUAGCGUUGUUCGGAAUUACUGGGCGUAAAGCGCACGUAGGCGGAUUGUUAAGUGAGGGGUGAAAUCCCAGGGCUCAACCCUGGAACUGCCUUUCAUACUGGCAAUCUAGAGUCCAGAAGAGGUGAGUGGAAUUCCGAGUGUAGAGGUGAAAUUCGUAGAUAUUCGGAGGAACACCAGUGGCGAAGGCGGCUCACUGGUCUGGAACUGACGCUGA